Fukomys damarensis (Damara mole-rat) is the source of this 435-nucleotide long non-coding RNA. RefSeq lists it as uncharacterized. NCBI's taxonomy places the organism in Eukaryota, Metazoa, Chordata, Mammalia, Rodentia, Bathyergidae. The record is from RefSeq and is a predicted model, not a curated record. The transcript is spliced from 3 exons.
UAUGUUUAUCUGCUGCCACUAAAUGUGUUUAUUAAUGAUAUUUCAAUUGAUUACAUUAUUUCCUUAUGGAAGUAUUCAUCCAAUACAAGGAGUGUGGUGAAGCUAUCAACUUCACAAAUGUAAAGUAGAAAAUUUUGGUUUAGCAAACACAUGGAUGGAAUUAUGACUUGUUUCUGCAGGGACAGUAAUACUUGAGUUUACUUUGGACAUACUUAUUUGCAUAUGAACCAUUGUAAGAAGUAUUUUCAACAUAUCAGCGUAUAAAUUCAAUUCAAAUUUAACUGUACUAUUUCAAUUUGGGUCAUAUUUCAAUUUGGGUCAUACCUAUAUAUAUGAGAGAGAGAGCGCAAAGUAAUUUUAUUUCUUAGUGUUCUGGACAAUGAAUAAUCUAAAUUUUUACAAGCAAAUCAUUUAGACCAUCAGUGAAGACAGUUU